UUGUAUUUAUGAUAAACUAUUAUGAUAACAGGAUGUUAUUGUCAUUAAUAUAUUUUCUCUAGGUCUUUUUUGAGUUAUUUAUUUGUAUGUAUUUUUUACUGAUACAUUCUUAAAUACGUUUUACUAAAUAUUUGGUAAUACUUUACAAGAAGUUUCAUUAGUUAAACAUUAGUUAAUUAUUAACUAACAUGAACUAUGAGCAAUACAUUUGUUGCUGUAUUUACUAAUCUUCGCUAAUGUUAGUUAAUGAAAAUACAGUUGUUCAUUGUUUGUUCAUGUUAGUUCACAGUGCAUUAACUAAUGUUAACAAAAUUUUAAUAAUGUAUUAGUAUCUAAGGUUAACUAAUGGACCUUAUUGUAAAGUGUUACCAAAUACUUAAAUACUUUAAAUGCUGACUGGUUCAGGGGGUCAAGAACUUUAGGCAUUUAAGUUAUUUUUCACAUAAAUCUGGUCAGCUUACACACUGCUCAUACUCAGCCUCUAAAAUGUAUGAAUUGAAUCACCAAUACAAUAUCAGGGGUUAAAGAUGUCAUUAGAGUUCUUACAAUUAUGGCUGUGCUCUUGUUACCAGAUGAGAUCUGAUCCCCAGCGUUUGGCGCUGAGAUUCUUCAGGACAAAGGCCUUGAUGCCAUGAAGAUGCCCAUAACUGACAGGCUUUCCUGUGUAAACCAUCAUAUUUAUCCAAAUGAGGGUCUCUGGGAUCCCCAGCUGAAGGCAUGAAGACAUCAGAUCUUGGCCUGGACAGAUGUACCAACAGUACACCACACCGACCUCUGCUUUUGCAUGGAUGGCUGAUUACUACCAUGUUCUGUGAGGGUAUUACUAUAGCAAAACUGAGCACCUGUGACACUGGGAUUUCUAGUUGUAAAGAAUAAUCACACAAUGUUUUUUAGAAGUUGCAAACUUCUCUCUCUUUCUCUCUUACAAACAACACAACAGUUAAACCUUUUCAAAUUCUUUUCUGGUGGUGCACAAGUCCUAUUCUUCGAAACAGAAAUUAAGAUAUUCAUAUGCUCACAUUUAAGCUGCGGACACACUACUUUGAGCAUGCAAAAUUUCUUCAGACACUGUAACUGGCGUGAUAUGACGUCUGCAGAGUCUUUUUAUAAACAUGAAUUCAACAUUUAACAAAUAGUAUAUUCAAAGUAUAAAAAUAUACAGUCUACUCGACUUUACUACGUUUUUUUUUUUUUUUUUAGCCAAGAGGUCACACCUACAUGUAGCGAUUUUGUACUCUUUACACAGUCGUGUGAUGUGAAUUCGCAGGUCAGAGUUCCAAACCAAACUUUUUGCACGAGCUUGCGUUUCUGGUCUCCCGCAUUUGUGUGCAUAUGAAUGGAGGUCAAUGGAAUGAAAAGCGUAGUGUGACCGCACCUUUAUUCUGCAGUUGUGGCACACCUGUAUCAAAAGUGUGAAGUCAUGGACAGAUUUUAUUUGUGAACCGAUAUGCGAGAUCUCACAUAUGACACAAUAGUAUGUCACAUCCCACUCCAACACGUGCUCUAUCCAGUGAUAAACAUGUUCUUGUCGUUAUUAAUCAAUCAGUAAUCAACACAGCACCACCCCGAAAUUGCCUUGCACUGUAGAAUUAUGGUUUUGGCAAGAAAUGAAAAAUAGCCAAUUAUUUAUUAUAAAUGCUACUAUUUUACAAUUAAUAUUUAAGACUAUGUUAGAGAGGGAUAGAAGCCAUUUUUAUGGAUGAUAGGAUUUUUUUCAUUACAGGUCAUUUAUUUGAAUGAUCAGCAAAAAUUUGAGCCUAUGAGUUUAAUAAUUUGAAUUCGUAGAAUAAGAUUAGUACAAAUUUAACUGUUGUGUUUGUGAGAGAGAAAAAGAAAACUACAAGUUUGAAAAUCCUAAUACAUUUUCUCAGUGACUACUGAAAUAUUCUCUACAAAUUCCACUGUCACAGGUGCUCAGUUUUGCUACAAUAAUACUAUAUAUUAUACAGCACAUGCAUAAUUUGAGACAAUAUUCUGAUUCUCAUUUUACCAAUGACAAACCACGUCUAUCUUAUUAACAACUAUUCAUUUUGUGUAUAAUCAAUAUCUAAACAAGUGAUAUUUAGUUGUUAAUGAGGGAUUGACUGGACUCUGCUGACCCAAUCAGUAUUUCUCGUCCAAUGGUCAUACUUUAAUUUUCCGGUUUCUCUAGUAUUGCAUCCUUCUCAUGGGCAUUUCAUGACUUUUCAGUGUGGGUUAAACCUCUUUUUUGGCCCAUAAUAUGUAUUUUUUUAAAAAGUAAUUAAAAAUAGUUUUGUCUAUGCUAUUGAAAUUGUGGGUUACAUCUUUGUCACCUUUUUCACCCAAGGAGUUUACAUUCCUGAUAAUACAAGAGCGAGGAACUUACAUUUUAAUUACAAAGGAAAACCAAUUCAUCUGCUAUAUUCUUCUGUCCUCCAUUUUCAAGGGUAAGAUUUCUUUAUAAACCAUCUACUCACCCAUAUGUCUUUAUUUUCGUGGAACACAAAAGGAGAGAGUCACUUAGUCUCAGUCACCAUUAGAAAAGAAACUGAUAGUGAAUUGUGACUGAGGCUGUCAGUCUCUUGAUGUUCUGCCUUACAUCUCCUUUAGUGCUCCAAUAAAAAUAACAUGUUUGGUACAAAAGAACAUGACCAGUUUUGUUCAUGAGUAAAUAUUGCUUUUAAUUUUUUAACUUGAGACUGUUUAGCCUGUAAUUUUCUGUAUACCUCUGCGUGUAUCUGAAUGUAAAUGCCUUCUCUAUUAGUCAUAUUGACGGGUUGUAUAUAGGAGGAUGUAUGCCUUAAACAUGCAGGCUAUCUGUAACUGUAUUUUGUAAAUAUUAAAACAAUGUUAACUGAA
Molecule: long non-coding RNA, 2820 nt
Organism: Ctenopharyngodon idella (grass carp)
Lineage: Eukaryota; Metazoa; Chordata; Actinopteri; Cypriniformes; Xenocyprididae
Exons: 3
Source: RefSeq, a predicted model, not a curated record